This 425-nucleotide long non-coding RNA is filed under the name Homo sapiens (human). RNAcentral describes it as "non-protein coding lnc-ITPR3-7:1". The record is from RNAcentral. Lineage: Eukaryota; Metazoa; Chordata; Mammalia; Primates; Hominidae.
UUGCACUCCAGCCUGGAGGCUGGAGUGACAGAGCAAGACUCUGUCUCAAAAAAAAAAAAAAAAAAAAAGAGAGAGAGAAAGAUAAUUUGCCUGUGCCUCUGUGCCCCUUAUUGGUAUGGCAAGCCCUCUGUUGGCCAGAGCACUGGUGGUUAGAGCUGUUCCUGAACCCCCUAUUACCUGGGAGAGCCUUGAGGUCCUAGUGGUAAGAUAUUAUUUCUACUUCUAUACUCAUGUCUGAUUCUUUUUUUUUUUUUCAGACAGAUCUUGCUGUGUUGCCCCAGCUGGAAUGCAGUGGCUCUUCUCAGGUAUCCCAGGUAUGAUCACAGUACAUUACAGCCUUGAACUCCUAGGCCCGAGCAGAGUCCUCCUGGCUCAGCCUCCUGAGCAGCUGGGACAACCUCAUGACUGAUUCUUAUCUGUUAAAA